GUCUAUGGCCAUGUCACCCUCAAUGUACUCCAUCUGUCUGAUCUUGGAAGCUAGGCAGGGUCGGGUCUGGUUAGUACUUGGAUGGGAGAAAAGUGGGGCAGGGGCUGAGCUAAGGCCU
Molecule: ribosomal RNA, 118 nt
Organism: Rhinopithecus roxellana (golden snub-nosed monkey)
Lineage: Eukaryota; Metazoa; Chordata; Mammalia; Primates; Cercopithecidae
Source: Ensembl